GGCGUAAGGGCUCGCAGGCGGUUUCUUAAGUCUGAUGUGAAAGCCCCCGGCUCAACCGGGGAGGGUCAUUGGAAACUGGGAAACUUGAGUGCAGAAGAGGAGAGUGGAAUUCCACGUGUAGCGGUGAAAUGCGUAGAGAUGUGGAGGAACACCAGUGGCGAAGGCGACUCUCUGGUCUGUAACUGACGCUGAGGAGCGAAAGCGUGGGGAGCGAACAGGAUUAGAUACCCUGGUAGUCCACGCCGUAAACGAUGAGUGCUAAGUGUUAGGGGGUUUCCGCCCCUUAGUGCUGCAGCUAACGCAUUAAGCACUCCGCCUGGGGAGUACGGUCGCAAGACUGAAACUCAAAGGAAUUGACGGGGGCCCGCACAAGCGGUGGAGCAUGUGGUUUAAUUCGAAGCAACGCGAAGAACCUUACCAGGUCUUGACAUCCUCUGACAACCCUAGAGAUAGGGCUUUCCCUUCGGGGACAGAGUGACAGGUGGUGCAUGGUUGUCGUCAGCUCGUGUCGUGAGAUGUUGGGUUAAGUCCCGCAACGAGCGCAACCCUUGAUCUUAGUUGCCAGCAUUCAGUUGGGCACUCUAAGGUGACUGCCGGUGACAAACCGGAGGAAGGUGGGGAUGACGUCAAAUCAUCAUGCCCCUUAUGACCUGGGCUACACACGUGCUACAAUGGACAGAACAAAGGGCUGCAAGACCGCAAGGUUUAGCCAAUCCCAUAAAUCUGUUCUCAGUUCGGAUCGCAGUCUGCAACUCGACUGCGUGAAGCUGGAAUCGCUAGUAAUCGCGGAU
RNAcentral lists this ribosomal RNA (791 nucleotides) under Bacillus pumilus. Its description in RNAcentral is "bacterial SSU rRNA". It matches the Rfam family "Bacterial small subunit ribosomal RNA", at positions 557 to 1349 of the family's 1533-position model. The record is from RNAcentral. Lineage: Bacteria; Bacillati; Bacillota; Bacilli; Caryophanales; Bacillaceae.